Molecule: non-coding RNA, 80 nt
Organism: Desmophyllum pertusum
Lineage: Eukaryota; Metazoa; Cnidaria; Anthozoa; Scleractinia; Caryophylliidae
Source: the annotation of a GenBank genome assembly
GGCCAAGUGGGAGACGCGGUUAUGGUUAGCGCGUUGGACUCCGGAUCGAGCGAUCCGGGUUCGAUCCCUAGCCUAGGUCA